CAGGCGUUAGCUAUGAGCUGCCACAAAUUGCAAUAUCUUGACCUCAGCUCCACAGCAACUGGCAAAUAUGGAAUUUGUUUACUAGCUGCUUAUUGCAACCAGAACUUGGAAUGUGUGAAACUCAGCUUCUGCAAAGAAAUAACUGAAGAUGCCAUUAAAAAAUUGUGUAAGAACAGCAAACAACUAAAGUUGCUUCAUCUCUAUGGGUGUCAAUCUGUCCAUAAUCUGAAGGCAAUUCAAGAUGUGAACAAGCAAGUGGAGUUGCACCAUGACCAAGUGUCAACAAAAUAGAAUGCUAAAGACACUAUGAUUCUUUUUUCGGUUGCAGUGAUGAACUUGCUGAUGUUUGUGCAUAUUCAUCUUCAUGUAAAGAUCACUGAUGUAAUGCCAUGGCAGGUCAUUCCUUGGCACAAGCACUCUCACAAUGCAUCACCAUGCCAAUCGUGAAGAGAAUUUGAACUUACCAUAGUU
Long non-coding RNA from Pristis pectinata (smalltooth sawfish), 471 nucleotides. RefSeq lists it as uncharacterized. The record is from RefSeq and is a predicted model, not a curated record. NCBI's taxonomy places the organism in Eukaryota, Metazoa, Chordata, Chondrichthyes, Rhinopristiformes, Pristidae. The transcript has 4 exons.